Picea glauca (white spruce) is the source of this 123-nucleotide non-coding RNA. The record is from Rfam. NCBI's taxonomy places the organism in Eukaryota, Viridiplantae, Streptophyta, Pinopsida, Pinales, Pinaceae.
AUGUACAUUCCUACAACAUAGCGUUAAUGCACCAUAUCCCAUUAGAAAUUUGCAAUUAAGCAUGCUCAGGCUAGAGUAGUACUGGGAUGGAUGACCUCCGAGGAAGUCCUAGUGUUUUAAAUG